Molecule: long non-coding RNA, 3685 nt
Filed under: Homo sapiens (human)
Lineage: Eukaryota; Metazoa; Chordata; Mammalia; Primates; Hominidae
Description: non-protein coding lnc-CER1-111:1
Source: RNAcentral
GUAGCAAAUAAGCCAUGUACAUUUAAUGUGUUCUACUUGCUAGUAUUAACUGUAUGAUUAAUGAAUGUGUUAUUUAAUGCCCAAGUUUGUUAACUUUUAUUCUAGAAAUCAUCCUCUGAAUUUAUUAUAAAUCACAGAUUUCAUUGUGCUCUAUAUUUAGUCAUUCUCAGUUGAAUUCUAGAAUAUUCCACAGUACAGUAUAAGAAAGUAUUAGAACCAACUUGCUUGAACUAUUUUGAACCAGUGUUGUAAUUCUAUAUGUUAAUCAGUAUUUAGCAUUUCUGCUCCUUUUGAGAUGAUGAUGGUUUAACUUCAGGAAAGUGACUUUUCUGACUUCUUUUAUUAUCAUUGUGCAAUUUUUAGCAACAAAACUCACUAUAUCUUUGUCAGUUCUUCAGAUGUUACAAUACUGCCUGCUAAUUUGAAACAGAAAUAACAAUGGUAUUUUAAAAAGUCAUUGAUAUUACUGAUACUUUCCAUUAUCAUUAUAUUUUUUACUAUUAUUAUGUUCUUUUUGCCUUGUCCACCCUAGAGAAUAGGUACAAAUGAGUAGUGAGUAUCCACAAACUUACUAAGAUGGAGAGAAGGCUAGAUGGUGCAUGAAUAAUCAGCAUCUCAGCAACAGAGUUGACUGGAGCCAGUUUCUGACAUCAGAGAAUCUCUUUGCUGUAAUCAUUUUAGCCUUAUCUCUUAUUUAUACCAUUUUUAUGGGAAGAGUUGUUAGUGCAUAUAAGCAUUUAGUUUGAAUUAUUUAACUUAAAGAAUUUAUAUUGCGGUUUCUCUUCAGUUGGUCAGAUGCCUUUUAUAAAUAUUUUAGUUUUAAAUAUAAUUGUGUAGAGUAUGAUCAUGUGAAGUGUUAAAAAUAAUGUGGAAAACUCAGCUAUUUAAUGCAGAGGAGAAAUGAAUAGGUUGACCAAAGUUUGAAAAAACUGGCACCUUUUCUGGAAAUCUCUUAUUGCAAAGAAAAGAUACUGAGUGUAUAGAAAAUUUUGUCACCAGAGGAAAAAUAAACAAUAUAUAAGGGUGGCUUUCACUUUAACAUUUGGGAUAUUUUGGAGUUCUUGAUACCUCGAAGGUCUCCAUUUCUAUUGGUAUUUUGAAUAUCUGUAACAUGUAAUGUCGUUCUUAUAACAGUUCAACACUGAUUUUUUUGGUAUCGAUAGCUUUAUAUAUAAACAAAGAUGCGGACAAAAUAGCUUAACAGAAGUUGUGGGCUUUUUUGUGGCUUUGCCUGCCUGUUUGACCAAAUACAGGGUUUAAUUGUUUGCAGGCUGUUAACUAAAGGGAAAGCUUACCUGCGUAUUGCAAGCUAUAUAUUCUUGCCAGUAUACAUUGGAUGAUAUUUUAACCUACUGGUGCCUGAAGUUCGUGUUUUAUAACCUCAACAACUAUAAAACAUCCUGGUGCUAUUCACUUUAGCAUUGAGUGACAUUUUUAAUUCCUGUACCAAAGAGUUAAUUUUCUUUUUGGUUGACUGAGUUUUCUUCUCACAUCGUUGUGUAUUUAUAAAGUAGAAUUUAAUGUUACUAAGAACAGUUUGAUUAACAGAUCUUAUUUUUUGCAUGCUGCUCUGGCAAUUUAAUGGAUUUUAAAUGUUUCUCAUUUGGAUUUUUUUUUAGGUAGGCAUGUAUGGAUUUUAAUUUUGUAUUUUAAUAUAGCUUGGCUACUUUAAAAGGUAGUUUGAUAGGCUGAAAUUACAAAAGAUAAUUGAAGCACUUUUCACAAGUUGUUUUAUUUCUGCAACAAUGAAUAAAAAGGUAAGAACUCUAAUUUAUAUAAAUGAACUAUAUAGCUUAUUGGGCACUUUAGUGAAUACUGAAACAAAAUACUAAGAUGAAGAGUUAAGGUUCGUUCUCAUUACAAAUCGAGUUCAGCGUGUGUGUGUGUGUGUGUGUGUGUGUGUGUGUGUGUGUAAUCUUUAGUGGCUUUAAAGAAUAAUAUUGCCAUUUGUCUACUUUGCAAAUAAAGAUAACAGAACACCUUUAAAAUAUAUGUAUGUGUACAUAUGUGUGUGUAGAUAUAUAGAGAGAGAGAUACGGAGAGACAGACAGACAGAGAGAGAGACAGAGAGAGAGAUGCUUUCCCAAGAGGAAAUGCAUAUGUACCUUGAUUUAAGCAAAACUGAUAACAGAAAAUUGAACUUAAUGAAAGAAAAAAGUCUGGAUAUGGUUACUCACUUUACAUAGAGUAAGAUUUUUAAAACUAAUUUUGCUUAGUAGUUAAUUUUACAAAAAUGAAGAGAAACACCCUUUAAGUGUACUCGUAAUUUAAAACACCUUUGAAAUGUAAUUGUCCAAAUGUAAUGCUGCUAUGUAUAUUAUUUGGGUUCCAGAUUUUUCCCUUUAAAAUUCUCAAAACACUCAGUGUCCUUACAACUGCAGCUAAAAUGGUUAAUCAUUCUGGCAAGAAGGUGACAGUGUGUAUAUUGGAAAGGCAGACAUUCACAUUUGAAAAUAUUUUGCAUUAUUGUUAGCUAAAAUCAACCUCUCCUUGAAUGUAGAUACAAUAUAUGGUUUUGCAGUCAAUUCUGAAUGGAAAAAAAGAAUCAAGUCUGAAAUUUAUGUGAAAUGUGGCUUCAGAUCAUUUGAACGAUAUGUAGAAAUCUAGAUGAACAUAUCAUUAGAGGUGAAAGCAAAAUUUGAAAGCCUAAUGAGAUGAAGCAACAUUAUCUCUCUCUAAUCUGCCAACAAUAUUCCCUAGAUUGUGUUGCCACUGUAUUGAUUCUGAGUAAUUUGGCUUGUUUAUGCGUGAUUUAAAUGCAUGUGGCUGAAUGCAGUAAUUUUUCAAGUUAUUGAGUAGUAGAGAAUUCACCACUAUUCACUGUCUCCCAGAGAUGAACAUAUAAAAGAAAAAAAAUUCUACUUCAUAUAUGUAAGAAUAAAGCAACUAAAUGAUACAAAAGUAAAAACUUCCACCAGAAUCAGAGAUAUUCCGACAAGUGAAUUGUGAGUCUAACACGGGAGGACAAAGCUAGGCUCUUGCAAGGACAGAGCACACGUGGAUCAUGCUGUAUGAGCUCACUUUGUGUCCCUGGAAUUAGUGUUUUUUUGUGUGUGAUCUAACUGGCAAGUUUAAUGAAUAGCCAAAAUCUAUGUUAUUCUUGAGGCUCCUAAAAUUAUGUGUGAACCCCAAGUUCUGUCUAGUAUUAUAUCCCUAAAAUGCUUUUAAUAGUGGUAUGUUACAAGUGGCAUAAGAAGAUCCUGUUUUUAAAUUUGUCAGGCAUUUUAUUAUUCAGUACAUAAUAUGUAUAGAUCUGAGUGCUGUUUUCCUUGCAUUGUCUAUUAUUUUUACCUUGUCUUUCCCCUAAGAGAAUUUGAAGAAAAUCUUCACCAAUAUUUCUAGUGUUGAUGGUAAUUAGGAAAAUAGUAGUUGAGAGAUGUAAGAAUAGUUUGAGAAGAGUGAGUAAAAUGGGUGAAAUGACAAGUGGGAACCAUGUAGCUGAGAUGUAUUUGUUUAGAUGAAAAGUCUACACUGGUUCUUAAUGUGAAAAUCAAACCAUGUAUCUACCUUAAGAACAAUGUUGUUGUUUUUAAUUUAUUGUAGCGAUUUAGUUUUUUUCACGUAAUAUUUCUAUUUUCUUUGCAGAUUGUUUUUAAUUUAAAUUGUGGAAUUUUUACUUCUCAAAAUGUAUUAAGUACUGUAUUUUUUGAAAUCUUAUUUUUAAAUAAAUAUUUUUUAAAAACGU